AGGAGCUUGCUCCUGGAUUCAGCGGCGGACGGGUGAGUAAUGCCUAGGAAUCUGCCUGGUAGUGGGGGACAACGUUUCGAAAGGAACGCUAAUACCGCAUACGUCCUACGGGAGAAAGCAGGGGACCUUCGGGCCUUGCGCUAUCAGAUGAGCCUAGGUCGGAUUAGCUAGUUGGUGAGGUAAUGGCUCACCAAGGCGACGAUCCGUAACUGGUCUGAGAGGAUGAUCAGUCACACUGGAACUGAGACACGGUCCAGACUCCUACGGGAGGCAGCAGUGGGGAAUAUUGGACAAUGGGCGAAAGCCUGAUCCAGCCAUGCCGCGUGUGUGAAGAAGGUCUUCGGAUUGUAAAGCACUUUAAGUUGGGAGGAAGGGUUGUAGAUUAAUACUCUGCAAUUUUGACGUUACCGACAGAAUAAGCACCGGCUAACUCUGUGCCAGCAGCCGCGGUAAUACAGAGGGUGCAAGCGUUAAUCGGAAUUACUGGGCGUAAAGCGCGCGUAGGUGGUUUGUUAAGUUGGAUGUGAAAUCCCCGGGCU
RNAcentral lists this ribosomal RNA (539 nucleotides) under Pseudomonas koreensis. RNAcentral's name for it is "bacterial SSU rRNA". It matches the Rfam family "Bacterial small subunit ribosomal RNA", at positions 74 to 609 of the family's 1533-position model. The record is from RNAcentral. Lineage: Bacteria; Pseudomonadati; Pseudomonadota; Gammaproteobacteria; Pseudomonadales; Pseudomonadaceae.